This 894-nucleotide small RNA is filed under the name Histoplasma capsulatum var. duboisii H88. RNAcentral describes it as "Histoplasma capsulatum H88 hypothetical RNA". Lineage: Eukaryota; Fungi; Ascomycota; Eurotiomycetes; Onygenales; Ajellomycetaceae. The record is from RNAcentral.
CAAAAGCUUUCAGGCCAGGAAGAUGGGUUUCUAUUUUCGGAUAUUCAUUCGAAUGUCCAUCACCACCAUGGUAUCGUUUCUGGCCGUUUGAUACAUUCGUUUUUUGAAGCGGAAAUGUUGCUUGAGCAUGAGUACGGGGAGAAAAGAUCAGCUUAAGUGCUCAGAUCGUCGUCUCCUCUAUGUUGAUGAGAUAGCACAUAUCUCCCACUUAACGGACUAUAUAACCAUUUAAACGCAACUAUUUUCUGCUUCUGGAUUGUUGCGAAGUGCAUGCCAAAGGCUCUGGCCAGAUCGGUUAUUGAAGUUGGGAAACGCCAUCGUUAUCCUUCAUCACCACCGCAACAACGACAACCAAUACAAAACCAUCGCCAUCGCCAACCGCAUCGCUGGUCAUAACGACAAAUAAGCGAAAGCCCUGCAUUAAUGGAGAAGAAAUGAAGCUGGAAGAAAAAAAGAAUUAUAUAUAUAUUCAAAAAGGUUCACACCUCCAAGCUGUUGACUCGGGGGUGCUACGUCCUCUUCCCUACCCUGCUCUCGCAAAGCGCGCUGGGUGGGAAUCGAACAGCCGACCACUCCAGCAGUCCUGAGCGGGGGCCGGCUUUCCCCGCUAGGCCACUGGGGUCAGCUGUUCGUUGGUAUUGUACACAUUUCUCUGGGUUUUGAGUCAAUAAUUUUUAGCUAUUUUGGGCAGUGUUGGGUGAAUGGACGAAUGAAUGCUGUUUUGGGUAAGGACGGCGGUUGGGUGGGCAACCUACUACGCGUGGAUAAGCCAGCUAGGUAUCUAUCUGGAUCGAAACGAAACGACUCCCUGUGUUGCUACUAGGAGCCUUUGGUAUGGCUGGGCUGGCCCGCUGGCAGGAUACUCUGUACGUAUCAGUGAUACUCCGGUGCGCA